Molecule: ribosomal RNA, 402 nt
Filed under: uncultured bacterium
Lineage: Bacteria
Description: bacterial SSU rRNA
Rfam family: Bacterial small subunit ribosomal RNA
Source: RNAcentral
UGGGGAAUCUUGGACAAUGGGGGCAACCCUGAUCCAGCGAUGCCGCGUGAGCGAAGAAGGCCUUAGGGUUGUAAAGCUCUUUCGCCCGCGACGAUGAUGACGGUAGCGGGAGAAGAAGCCCCGGCUAACUCCGUGCCAGCAGCCGCGGUAAUACGGAGGGGGCUAGCGUUGUCCGGAAUUACUGGGCGUAAAGCGCGCGGAGGCGGUCCACCAAGUCGGGGGUGAAAGCCCGGGGCUCAACCCCGGAAUGUCCUCCGCGACUGUUGGGCUGGAGUUCGGGAGAGGAGAGCGGAAUUCCCAGUGUUGAGGUGAAAUUCGUAGAUAUUGGGAAGAACACCGGUGGCGAAGGCGGCUCUCUGGCCCGCAACUGACGCUGAGGCGCGAAAGCGUGGGGAGCAAACA